UAUUGCACAAUGGGCGCAAGCCUGAUGCAGCCAUGCCGCGUGUGUGAAGAAGGCCUUCGGGUUGUAAAGCACUUUCAGUCAGGAGGAAAGGUUAGUAGUUAAUACCUGCUAGCUGUGACGUUACUGACAGAAGAAGCACCGGCUAACUCCGUGCCAGCAGCCGCGGUAAUACGGAGGGUGCGAGCGUUAAUCGGAAUUACUGGGCGUAAAGCGUACGCAGGCGGUUUGUUAAGCGAGAUGUGAAAGCCCCGGGCUCAACCUGGGAACUGCAUUUCGAACUGGCAAACUAGAGUGUGAUAGAGGGUGGUAGAAUUUCAGGUGUAGCGGUGAAAUGCGUAGAGAUCUGAAGGAAUACCGAUGGCGAAGGCAGCCACCUGGGUCAACACUGACGCUCAGACGGAG
RNAcentral lists this ribosomal RNA (402 nucleotides) under uncultured bacterium. RNAcentral describes it as "bacterial SSU rRNA". It matches the Rfam family "Bacterial small subunit ribosomal RNA", at positions 362 to 758 of the family's 1533-position model. The record is from RNAcentral.